CCUACGGGUGGCAGCAGUGGGGAAUAUUGGGCAAUGGGCGCAAGCCUGACCCAGCAACGCCGCGUGAAGGAAGAAGGCUUUCGGGUUGUAAACUUCUUUUAAGCGGGAAGAGAAGAAGACGGUACCUCUUGAAUAAGCCACGGCUAACUACGUGCCAGCAGCCGCGGUAAUACGUAGGUGGCAAGCGUUGUCCGGAUUUACUGGGUGUAAAGGGCGUGUAGCCGGGCUGACAAGUCAGAUGUGAAAUUCCGGGGCGCAACCCCGGACCUGCAUUUGAAACUGUUGGUCUUGAGUAUCGGAGAGGCAGGCGGAAUUCCUAGUGUAGCGGUGAAAUGCGUAGAGAUUAGGAGGAACACCAGUGGCGAAGGCGGCAUGCUGGACGACAACUGACGGUGAGGCGCGAAAGCGUGGGGAGCAAACAGGAUUAGAUACCCGAGUAGUC
Molecule: ribosomal RNA, 442 nt
Filed under: uncultured bacterium
Lineage: Bacteria
Description: partial 16S ribosomal RNA
Rfam family: Bacterial small subunit ribosomal RNA
Source: RNAcentral